GACGAACGCUGGCGGCGUGCUUAACACAUGCCAGUCGAACGAAGAGCGAUGGAAGCUUGCUUCUAUCAAUCUUAGUGGCGAACGGGUGAGUAACGCGUAAUCAACCUGCCCUUCAGAGGGGGACAACAGUUGGAAACGACUGCUAAUACCGCAUACGAUCUAAUCUCGGCAUCGAGGAUAGAUGAAAGGUGGCCUCUACAUGUAAGCUAUCACUGAAGGAGGGGAUUGCGUCUGAUUAGCUAGUUGGAGGGGUAACGGCCCACCAAGGCGAUGAUCAGUAGCCGGUCUGAGAGGAUGAACGGCCACAUUGGGACUGAGACACGGCCCAGACUCCUACGGGAGGCAGCAGUGGGGAAUCUUCCGCAAUGGACGAAAGUCUGACGGAGCAACGCCGCGUGAGUGAUGACGGCCUUCGGGUUGUAAAGCUCUGUUAAUCGGGACGAAAGGCCUUCUUGCGAACAGUUAGAAGGAUUGACGGUACCGGAAUAGAAAGCCACGGCUAACUACGUG
Molecule: ribosomal RNA, 510 nt
Filed under: uncultured bacterium
Lineage: Bacteria
Description: partial 16S ribosomal RNA
Rfam family: Bacterial small subunit ribosomal RNA
Source: RNAcentral